AGUAGAGUAAGCUAAGUAAAAGCUGACGGGCUCAUGCCCCGUUGAUGGCAACAAGAGUUGUCCCCUAUUA
Molecule: transfer RNA, 70 nt
Filed under: Granata lyrata
Lineage: Eukaryota; Metazoa; Mollusca; Gastropoda; Seguenziida; Chilodontidae
Description: tRNA-Met
Source: RNAcentral